ACGAACGCUGGCGGCGUGCUUAACACAUGCCAGUCGAACGGAAAGGCCCUGCUUUUGUGGGGUGCUCGAGUGGCGAACGGGUGAGUAACACGUGAGUAACCUGCCCUUGACUUUGGGAUAACUUCAGGAAACUGGGGCUAAUACCGGAUAGGAGCUCCUGCUGCAUGGUGGGGGUUGGUAAGUUUCGGCGGUUGGGGAUGGACUCGCGGCUUAUCAGCUUGUUGGUGGGGUAGUGGCUUACCAAGGCUUUGACGGGUAGCCGGCCUGAGAGGGUGACCGGCCACAUUGGGACUGAGAUACGGCCCAGACUCCUACGGGAGGCAGCAGUGGGGAAUAUUGCACAAUGGGCGGAAGCCUGAUGCAGCAACGCCGCGUGCGGGAUGACGGCCUUCGGGUUGUAAACCGCUUUCGCCUGUGACGAAGCGUGAGUGACGGUAAUGGGUAAAGAAGCACCGGCUAACUACGUG
This 467-nucleotide ribosomal RNA is filed under the name uncultured bacterium. RNAcentral's name for it is "partial 16S ribosomal RNA". It matches the Rfam family "Bacterial small subunit ribosomal RNA", at positions 29 to 507 of the family's 1533-position model. The record is from RNAcentral.